GACGAACGCUGGCGGCGUGCUUAACACAUGCCAGUCGAACGGAAAGGCCCUGCUUUUGUGGGGUGCUCGAGUGGCGAACGGGUGAGUAACACGUGAGUAACCUGCCCUUGACUUUGGGAUAACUUCAGGAAACUGGGGCUAAUACCGGAUAGGAGCUCCUGCUGCAUGGUGGGGGUUGGAAAGUUUCGGCGGUUGGGGAUGGACUCGCGGCUUAUCAGCUUGUUGGUGGGGUAGUGGCUUACCAAGGCUUUGACGGGUAGCCGGCCUGAGAGGGUGACCGGCCACAUUGGGACUGAGAUACGGCCCAGACUCCUACGGGAGGCAGCAGUGGGGAAUAUUGCACAAUGGGCAGAAGCCUGAUGCAGCAACGCCGCGUGCGGGAUGACGGCCUUCGGGUUAUAAACCGCUUUCGCCUGUGACGAAGCGUGAGUGACGGUAAUGGGUAAAGAAGCACCGGCUAACUACGUG
This 468-nucleotide ribosomal RNA is filed under the name uncultured bacterium. RNAcentral's name for it is "partial 16S ribosomal RNA". It matches the Rfam family "Bacterial small subunit ribosomal RNA", at positions 28 to 507 of the family's 1533-position model. The record is from RNAcentral.